AGCUCGAUAGCGUAACGGUAACGCGUUUGUUCUCGAUCCUGGAUUGAUGCGGACCUACUUAAUGGUUGACGGAAGAUCUCGGUUCGAGUCCGGGUCGAGCUA
Molecule: transfer RNA, 102 nt
Organism: Stereum hirsutum FP-91666 SS1
Lineage: Eukaryota; Fungi; Basidiomycota; Agaricomycetes; Russulales; Stereaceae
Rfam family: tRNA
About the family: Transfer RNA (tRNA) molecules are approximately 80 nucleotides in length.
Source: Rfam